Molecule: ribosomal RNA, 519 nt
Filed under: uncultured eukaryote
Lineage: Eukaryota
Description: SSU rRNA
Rfam family: Eukaryotic small subunit ribosomal RNA
Source: RNAcentral
AGGGCACCACCAGGAGUGGAGCCUGCGGCUUAAUUUGACUCAACACGGGAAAACUCACCCGGCCCGGACACCGUAAGGAUUGACAGAUUGAGAGCUCUUUCUUGAUUCGGUGGUUGGUGGUGCAUGGCCGUUCUUAGUUGGUGGAGCGAUUUGUCUGGUUUAUUCCGAUAACGAGCGAGACUCUAGCCUACUAAAUAGUGACCGGAUAGCUUGGUCCGGGUCACUUCUUAGAGGGACAAGCGGUGUUCAGCCGCAAUAAGUUGAGCAAUAACAGGUCUGUGAUGUCCUUAGAUGUCCGGGGCUGCACGCGCGCUACACUGGAGGAAUCAGCGUGCUUGACCCAUUGCCGAAAGGCAUUGGUAAACCCUUGAAAAUCCUCCGUGAUCGGGAUCGGGAAUUGCAAUUAUUUCCCUUGAACGAGGAAUUCCCAGUAAGUGUGAGUCAUCAGCUCACGUUGAUUACGUCCCUGCCCUUUGUACACACCGCCCGUCGCUGCCCGGGACUGAGCCGUUUCGAGAA